AGCGAAGGAGCGCGGGGAGCGGGCGGUGGCGGCACCGGCCCGGCCCCAGCCCCCGGCUCGGACGUUCCCCCGCGCGGUUCCCGUGGUUCCAAAGCGUUCCCACGAGUUAGGUUUAACUUCGUGGCAUUCUGAGUAUGAAUGUUUUUGGACUUUAAUCCUUUUCGAUUGAACCAUACAGACUAAUUCUUCAGCGUACUCCUUACAAAGAAAUGCAAAACUCGCUACGUCCGUAGAAGGAAACUUUAAUGGAAGAGGACAUCAGUUUAUAACAAAAUCCAUCAGAUUUUUUUUCCACUUUACCUUUUACAAUUAUUUCCAAUUAUUGAGCCAGUUACUGGGUGGUGGCUUUAACCUUUCUCUGUUUUUAAGUUCUCCAAUCAUUGUACCCACGUCAUUUAUGGCUUUGGGAUGAUACAAGGCUCAGAGGGUUUAUUUGUCUGUAGAUUUCUCAGCAAUUCUGGUCCAAGGAUAAAUCACUUCUGCCAACAAAAUAGGUAUGGGUUAACGUUGUUCUUUGGAGUAUGGCUCCUGAGAAAAAAGUGCUGAGUUACAGGGGUUUUCUGUUCUCUGUGGGAUUUACUUUUGGGAUUUUUACUUCUAAGAACUGAAAAAAAUAAAAUGUCUCAUAGAUCUUUCUAGAUCACAGUCCACAGGUGAAAGCUGUAAUUUCAAUGAUACUUAUAGAUAAAUAUGCUAUGGGUAGUAUCAUCUAUUUGUGUCCUUUAAAUAGGAUCCCUCUUAAAAUUCUGAACCUUGGGUUUUAUCAGCAUUAAAGAAAUACACAAGAAACAUAAAUGUAAUUUAUCUAUGUCUAUUAGCUAAAGUGAAGUGGAAUCUGCAAAAUCAUGAGUGGAACUUUGCUUGGUUGUAGCAAGAUAAAUUUAAAUUAGGCCUGCUGCCGUUAGAAUGAGGUACUUUCAGUUGUGACAUUCUACCAUUAGUAUUAAUAUGGAUGUUAAAACUGUGUUUCAAUUCUUUCCAUUUGUUCAUUGUUGAUAUUUGUCAAAGGGAAAUGUAGUUAGAUUAAGUCUAGACAGCCCCAGCCAUCUGUCAUCCUUGUGACAGUUGACCUGGAUUCUGAAGUGAUGCCAUUUAACUUUUGUGUCAGUCUGGUGCAGCCACGUGGAACUUCAUUUUAGCAGAGGAGGUUUGAUUGAGUUACGUAAUCAGUCCGAGCUGCAAAUGGAGCUACUCUUGUGUCAAGAAGAACUGCAAGGGCAUUUGUCUGCUACUGUGGAGGGCUGCUGCCAGUUUAGACCCGUGGGCUGGUCACAUAGAGCUGGACUGGGCUCUCUCUGCUGUUUACUUUCUAGUAGGCAAGGACACUAUUUCCAUUCCCUUUCCAUUAACUUUUAUAUUUUCUCCUUACCCCAUGUUUUAUUUUAUCUCUUACACAAACCUGUGUUGCCAAGGUUCUGGAAAUGCAAAGGAUUUGGAGAGAGGAACCUUUCAAGACCUCAUCGUGUAAGUUGGGAACAAUUGUUUAUGCCCAUAACUCAAGGUGAUCUGAGACCACAAAGAGUGUGUUCUUGAAGAGGGCUUAUAAAAUAGUACUGACUGAGUAUCACAAGAAGCAAUACAGUACUUGGAAGGAGAAUGUGGUCCGAACAUGUAUUUUAGCAGUGUUCCUGCUUAACCUUUCUGCUUACGGAUAUGUGACAUGGGCAGCUGAGGCUGUGUACAGGUUCCACUGUUCCACUUCUUCUGUUUGAGAAGGAGAUCUGCCAGUGUCCAGGUGCUCUCAAGGAGCACAACAACGCUGCAGUCACUGCUGGGACUCACUCGCUGCAGCCGAGGAGCACAGUCUUCAAGAGCAUCCAAACACCCAGAUCAGCUAUUUCAAAGUCUGCACAACUGUAUCAACUAAGCUCUGCCUUGCUCAGAUGGCAGUAAUUUUUCAGUUACCACUUGUAUGGGAAUUUUUGUUAUUUCAGAGCAAUAAGAAAUAUUAAAAUGUCUGCUGUAGUA
Pseudopipra pipra is the source of this 1968-nucleotide long non-coding RNA. RefSeq lists it as uncharacterized. The record is from RefSeq and is a predicted model, not a curated record. The transcript has 2 exons. NCBI's taxonomy places the organism in Eukaryota, Metazoa, Chordata, Aves, Passeriformes, Pipridae.